This 774-nucleotide ribosomal RNA is filed under the name uncultured Neocallimastigales. RNAcentral describes it as "partial large subunit ribosomal RNA". It matches the Rfam family "Eukaryotic large subunit ribosomal RNA", at positions 18 to 634 of the family's 3401-position model. Lineage: Eukaryota; Fungi; Neocallimastigomycota; Neocallimastigomycetes; Neocallimastigales. The record is from RNAcentral.
UCAGACGAUGCGUCAUGCAUAUCAAUAAGCGGAGGAAAAGAAACUAACAAGGAUUCCCUCAGUAACGGCGAGUGAAGCGGGAAGAGCUCAAAUUUGAAAUCUUGAAAGGUCACCUUUCACGAAUUGUAGUUUAAAGAAGUGUUUUCUGUUACGAUCGUAAUAUAAGUUCUUUGGAAUAGGACAUCACAGAGGGUGAGAAUCCCGUCUAUGAUUGCGAUUUGUAGCUUUGUGAUACACUUUCAAAGAGUCGGGUUGUUUGGGAAUGCAGCCCAAAACGGGAGGUAAAUUUCUUCUAAGGCUAAAUAUUGGCGAGAGACCGAUAGCGAACAAGUACCGUGAGGGAAAGAUGAAAAGAACUUUGAAAAGAGAGUUAAAUAGUACGUGAAAUUGUCAAAAGGGAAGCGUUUAACACCAGUGUUGUUUUCUGGAAAAUCAACCUCUGUUAGCUUUAUGCAUGUUUGUUUAGACCUAAUCAGCUAUCUUGCAUGUUCUAUUGUUUGCAGUGGUGCACUUUUCAGUCUACAGGUCAACACUCAGUUUUUUUUUACCGUAAAAAAGUUAAAGAAAGGUAGCUCAUGGCUCCGGUCGUGAGUGUUAUAGUCUUUUUCCUAUGCGGUAGGAGAGACUGAGGUCUGCAGUGUAGGCUAUUUGGCUAGAUACUCAGGUGCUAUGUGAUACCAUUUCAUAAACAACUUGUUGAUUAUGUUUUGUCUAUUGCAUACUCGCUUGUACUAUCAUACCUACGCUUAGGAUGUUGAAGACUCUACAGAGAUA